UACGAAGGGGGCUAGCGUUGUUCGGAAUUACUGGGCGUAAAGCGCACGUAGGCGGAUAUUUAAGUCAGGGGUGAAAUCCCAGAGCUCAACUCUGGAACUGCCUUUGAUACUGGGUAUCUUGAGUAUGGAAGAGGUAAGUGGAAUUGCGAGUGUAGAGGUGAAAUUCGUAGAUAUUCGCAGGAACACCAGUGGCGAAGGCGGCUUACUGGUCCAUAACUGACGCUGAGGUACGAAAGCGUGGGGAGCAAACAGGGA
RNAcentral lists this ribosomal RNA (255 nucleotides) under uncultured bacterium. RNAcentral describes it as "partial 16S ribosomal RNA". It matches the Rfam family "Bacterial small subunit ribosomal RNA", at positions 524 to 778 of the family's 1533-position model. The record is from RNAcentral.